This 723-nucleotide ribosomal RNA is filed under the name uncultured bacterium. RNAcentral describes it as "bacterial SSU rRNA". It matches the Rfam family "Bacterial small subunit ribosomal RNA", at positions 110 to 826 of the family's 1533-position model. The record is from RNAcentral.
UGAAUGCCUCGGGAAACUGCCUGAUGGAGGGGGAUAACUACUGGAAACGGUAGCUAAUACCGCAUAACGUCGCAAGACCAAAGAGGGGGACCUUCGGGCCUCUUGCCAUCGGAUGUGCCCAGAUGGGAUUAGCUAGUAGGUGGGGUAACGGCUCACCUAGGCGACGAUCCCUAGCUGGUCUGAGAGGAUGACCAGCCACACUGGAACUGAGACACGGUCCAGACUCCUACGGGAGGCAGCAGUGGGGAAUAUUGCACAAUGGGCGCAAGCCUGAUGCAGCCAUGCCGCGUGUAUGAAGAAGGCCUUCGGGCUGUAAAGUACUUUCAGCGGGGAGGAAGGCGAUAAGGUUAAUAACCUUGUCGAUUGACGUUACCCGCANAAGAAGCACCGGCUAACUCCGUGCCAGCAGCCGCGGUAAUACGGAGGGUGCAAGCGUUAAUCGGAAUUACUGGGCGUAAAGCGCACGCAGGCGGUCUGUCAAGUCNGAUGUGAAAUCCCCGGGCUCAACCUGGGAACUGCAUUCGAAACUGGCAGGCUANAGUCUUGUAGAGGGGGGUAGAAUUCCAGGUGUAGCGGUGAAAUGCGUAGAGAUCUGGAGGAAUACCGGUGGCGAAGGCGGCCCCCUGGACAAAGACUGACGCUCAAGUGCGAAAGCGUGGGGGAGCANACAGGGAUUAGAUACCCUUGUUAGUCCCNCCCGUAAACCGAUGUUCUACUUGGAGG